AGUGAACGCUGGCGGUAGGCCUAACACAUGCAAGUCGAACGGCAGCACAGUAAGAGCUUGCUCUUACGGGUGGCGAGUGGCGGACGGGUGAGGAAUACAUCGGAAUCUACUUUUUCGUGGGGGAUAACGUAGGGAAACUUACGCUAAUACCGCAUACGACCUACGGGUGAAAGCAGGGGAUCUUCGGACCUUGCGCGAUUGAAUGAGCCGAUGUCGGAUUGGCUAGUUGGCGGGGUAAAGGCCCACCAAGGCGACGAUCCGUAGCUGGUCUGAGAGGAUGAUCGGCCGCACUGGAGCUGGAACACGGUCCAGACUCCUACGGGAGGCAGCAGUGGGGAAUAUUGGACAGUGGGCGCGAGCCUGGUCCAGCCAUACCGCGUGGGUGGAGGAGGCCUUCGGGUUGUAAAGCCCUUUUGUUGGGAAAGAAAAGCAGCAGGUUGAUACCCCGCUGUUCUGACGGUACCCAAAGAAUAAGCACCGGCUAACUUCGUG
Molecule: ribosomal RNA, 492 nt
Filed under: uncultured bacterium
Lineage: Bacteria
Description: partial 16S ribosomal RNA
Rfam family: Bacterial small subunit ribosomal RNA
Source: RNAcentral